GUCGGGCACGGGGGCGCACGCCUGUAAUCCAGGCAACUUGGGAGGCUGAGGUGGGAGGAUCAAGCGUUCAAAGCCAGCCUCAGCAAAAGCGAGAUGCUAAGCAACUCAGUGAGACCCUGUCUCUA
Molecule: small RNA, 125 nt
Filed under: Marmota monax (woodchuck)
Lineage: Eukaryota; Metazoa; Chordata; Mammalia; Rodentia; Sciuridae
Source: RNAcentral